This 61-nucleotide transfer RNA is filed under the name Capillaria sp. cat-2018. RNAcentral describes it as "tRNA-Asn". The record is from RNAcentral. Lineage: Eukaryota; Metazoa; Nematoda; Enoplea; Trichinellida; Capillariidae.
UAAGAUUAAGCAUAAGUUUAAUUGAUGCAGAAAUUUGUUAAUUUUCAGAAUAGUAUCUUAG